GAUGAACGCUGGCGGCGUGCCUAAUACAUGCAAGUCGAGCGAACAGACGAGGAGCUUGCUCCUCUGACGUUAGCGGCGGACGGGUGAGUAACACGUGGAUAACCUACCUAUAAGACUGGGAUAACUUCGGGAAACCGGAGCUAAUACCGGAUAAUAUAUUGAACCGCAUGGUUCAAUAGUGAAAGACGGUUUUGCUGUAACUUAUAGAUGGAUCCGCGCCGCAUUAGCUAGUUGGUAAGGUAACGGCUUACCAAGGCAACGAUGCGUAGCCGACCUGAGAGGGUGAUCGGCCACACGGGAACGGAGACACGGUCCAGACUCCUAAGGGAGGCAGCAGUAGGGAAUCUUCCGCAAUGGGCGAAAGCCUGACGGAGCAACGCCGCGUGAGUGAUGAAGGUCUUCGGAUCGUAAAACUCGGUUAUUAGGGAAGAACAAAUGUGUAAGUAACUAUGCACGUCGUGACGGUACCUAAUCAGAAAGCCACGGCUAACUACGUG
Molecule: ribosomal RNA, 497 nt
Filed under: uncultured bacterium
Lineage: Bacteria
Description: partial 16S ribosomal RNA
Rfam family: Bacterial small subunit ribosomal RNA
Source: RNAcentral